GACGUAGGGCGCGAGCGUUGUCCGGAUUUAUUGGGCGUAAAGAGCUCGUAGGCGGCUUGUCGCGUCGAAUGUGAAAACUCGGGGCUCAACUCCGAGCUUGCAUUCGAUACGGGCAGGCUAGAGUUCGGUAGGGGAGACUGGAAUUCCUGGUGUAGCGGUGAAAUGCGCAGAUAUCAGGAGGAACACCAAUAACGGCGAAGGCAGUUAACUAUUCUGUUACUGACAUUGAGGCACGAAAGCGUGGGGAGCAAAACGG
Molecule: ribosomal RNA, 256 nt
Filed under: uncultured bacterium
Lineage: Bacteria
Description: partial 16S ribosomal RNA
Rfam family: Bacterial small subunit ribosomal RNA
Source: RNAcentral